CUGAGACUGAAUGCUAAUAGGGGACACAAUUAUGAAUUGAAAAUAGUGCUGGUCCUCAAAGAGAUAAUUCACUGUGUCCUGCAGUUUUCCUACAGUUGAAAGAAAUGAACAGUUCAGAAAGUCUGAAACUUGCAGUAUGAAGUUAGUACCUAUGGGUUAUGAUGUUUACCAGAGGCCACAACACAUGUGGCAUUGCAGGCGAUUGCAUACAGAAGCAGAUCUGAGGAUCCAGCUGUCUACUACUACUAUAUAUGAGUUGUAAAAUGUAAAAUAAUGUAACUCUUCUCACUAAAUCUGUGUGUGUUUCUGCACAGUGUACAGAAAACAUCAAUAAAUAAA
Molecule: long non-coding RNA, 339 nt
Organism: Symphalangus syndactylus (siamang)
Lineage: Eukaryota; Metazoa; Chordata; Mammalia; Primates; Hylobatidae
Source: RefSeq, a predicted model, not a curated record